UACGUAGGUGGCAAGCGUUGUCCGGAAUUAUUGGGCGUAAAGCGCGCGCAGGCGGCCUCUUAAGUCUGAUGUGAAAGCCCCCGGCUCAACCGGGGAGGGCCUUGGAAACUGGGAGGCUUGAGUAUAGGAGAGAAGAGUGAAUUCCACGUGUAGCGGUGAAAUGCGUAGAGAUGUGGAGGAACACCAGUGGCGAAGGCGACUCUUUGGCCUAUGACUGACGCUGAGGCGCGAAAGCGUGGGGGAGCAAAACAGGGAU
This 256-nucleotide ribosomal RNA is filed under the name uncultured bacterium. Its description in RNAcentral is "partial 16S ribosomal RNA". It matches the Rfam family "Bacterial small subunit ribosomal RNA", at positions 524 to 779 of the family's 1533-position model. The record is from RNAcentral.